Molecule: long non-coding RNA, 1038 nt
Organism: Rosa chinensis
Lineage: Eukaryota; Viridiplantae; Streptophyta; Magnoliopsida; Rosales; Rosaceae
Exons: 2
Source: RefSeq, a predicted model, not a curated record
AGAGAUCAUUUUAAAGUGUUUUAUUAUAAUUCAGAUAGCACUAAAGGUCAUCUCUUAACAGCCUGCCACUAAAGGUAAGCUUAAUUACCAAAGCUGCCACCUACGGCUGUCUCUCUCCCUCUCCCUAUCAUGUGGCCGGCUCUUUUCUCCGCAGCAGUCAAUUUGUGUGACAUUUUCUCAGUUUUCGAUUUUCAUUUUCCAGUCUCUGCAAAUCUAAUUCCCCUCCGGAGCCUUAAAGUUUCCGACGAAACAUUAAGAGACGUGUUCCGAUUAAAGAAGGAGAAGAUCCGAAAAUGAAUUUGAUACUCGAAUCUGUUUUCUCUCGGCGAAUUCUGAUUACGACUGGAGGAGUUGUAAAUUGAUCCACAUGGCCGACGUCUUACUCUAAUUCUGGCGAGGGUGCUCCGAAACCUGGCGGACUAGCUAGUUCUACGAGAAGCGCAAGAAUACCUCUCUCUCUCUCUCUCUAUGUGAAGCCCUACCCUUCGUUUCUCUCCCAGCUAUGGAAGACCUUCACCCUCACUAUGUGGAUCUCGAUGAUGCAGAGCUACAGGAAGAGGACAAAGCCUUAGAAGAACAUUCCUUCCUCGGCGACGUUGUAGACUCGGAAGAAAAAGAAGAAGAACAAAACGCCCAAACCGAUCCCAAUUUAGCGCCAUUUUGCUGGCCAAAUCAAGAAAGAUGACUACGAUUCGGAGAUUUUGCUGCAAUUAUCUGCUUCAUUUAACUUCGGUCAAUCUCGACUACCUCACUGAAACUGAAGAGGAUGGUGUCUGGAGUCCAGCCGAUAGGUUCUAUUCACCUGGGGAAUUAUCUUGGUGCCAUACGAAACUGGAUUACAUUACACGUAGCACCAAAUUGUCUGCUGUAGAAAUAGUUAAUUGAAUCUGAUCUGUUUAGAUUGUUAGCUAAUAUGCAAUAUGGUAUCUACUGGAAAUAGUGCCCGUGCUUUGCCGCGGGGGUUUGUUAUUGUUAACCAUUUUGUAUGCAAGGUUUACCGACAAAACAUAUAAAUUUGGGAAUGUUAUAGAUUUUCAA